Molecule: long non-coding RNA, 1132 nt
Organism: Hibiscus syriacus
Lineage: Eukaryota; Viridiplantae; Streptophyta; Magnoliopsida; Malvales; Malvaceae
Exons: 3
Source: RefSeq, a predicted model, not a curated record
GUAGAAAAUCUGGCAUUGAAUAUUGGACGAUGAUCAGAAAAACGGAGAACUUUGUUGAGGUGACUGGUGAGCCAACUCUUUUAAAUGUUGCGCGGGGAUUCGUUUGAAAAUGAGAAUGAGGAAAAAGGCUGGAAAAAAUAAAAAGAAAGAGAAAGAAAAGCCCCAGAAAACGUAUAAAAAGAGCCUCUUGACCCGCAAUUAGCAAAUUGCUGCGUUAAUUUAGGUUCCCUUAAAAUUAAAGGGUUAAAAAGAGGAAAAAUAAUUGUUUUAUUCACAGCCAACCUUUAUUUUCUCUUUACUAGUGUUUCCCGGGAAAACAACAGCGAGAACCAAGACCCCAUAUAAACUAUAUUCGUUUAUCUAAAGUGUAUAGAAAGAGGAAGAAGGUAUCAAAAAGAAAGAUGCUGGUUUUCUAUUUGAUCUCGUUGCCUUUAACAUUGGGGAUGGUGAUUCUCACUUUGAGAUAUUUCGCGGGCCCUUCUGUUCCCAUUUACGUCUUUCUAACCGUUGGAUAUACUUGGUUUUGUUCUUUCUCGGUCAUCAUCCUUGUCCCCGCUUAUAUUUGGACGGUGAUUUCCUUGGACUACCUAAUUCUUUCUUUUUUUCUUCUCUUCUCUUUAUUGAUUCAGAUUUCCUAUUUAAGCUUUGCUUAUUUAUUGCCUGCAAAUUAUGCAUGCAUAUUAGAUUGCUUGCUUUUCUUUUCUUUUUGCUUUCUUCAUCUGGCAGACAAUGGUGGGCCAUUCCAGCAGUGAGAUAUCUUUAUUCUGGAGCUUGAGUUAUUGGAUUACAUUUCUGCUAACAUGGGUUAUUAAGAUGCUGGAGAUUUCACUUUGGCAGAAAGAUUGAAGACUAGCAUACAUGCAAACUUAGUCUUCUACCUCUGCGUUGGUUUGCUUGGACUUGUCGAUUUUCUGCAGAAAUUGGAGUGGAGGCAUUAUUGGUUUUGCAAUGGCUUGCUCCAAUACUUUUGGGCUUGUUACUGGUGCCUUUCUUCUUGGUUUUGGUCUUAGUGAAAUCCCAAAGGGCAUUUGGAAGAAUGCAGAUUGGACUACCCGCCAAAAGCUUCUCUCGGGCAAAGUUGCUAAAAUGGCUGUUAAACUUGAUGGCGCUCAUCAAGAAUCGUCAAAUGCUA